Molecule: long non-coding RNA, 4387 nt
Organism: Puntigrus tetrazona (Sumatra barb)
Lineage: Eukaryota; Metazoa; Chordata; Actinopteri; Cypriniformes; Cyprinidae
Exons: 4
Source: RefSeq, a predicted model, not a curated record
UUUGUUUUAUUUACAUAUUAAGUUUGCAACCGCCACGCGAACGUGACAAGUAACUAAAGUUUGUAGCACUUUUUGAAACAACGCCGAACUCCCGGUUAUGGCUACGGCGCGCGAUCUGAACCUUCUGCCGGGGAGGGAGCGCCUCUGUCGGUGUAGAUGUCAAAUUCAUGCCGGCGAGCCUGCGGCCAUUUUCUGCUGAGCAAACUGUACUGCUGGGCAUCUGCCUCUGCUGGCUUUAAACUUCAACUUGGCCUUCUGAGUCCCGUGGUUAACGCACACACACACACACCUUUUUUUCUUCGGCUGUCAGAGAACUAAUAACUUUCAUUACAGGAGAAAAGCCAAAUCGCCUGGUAGCUAUCUCAAUCGUUGCGCGUCUCAAUAGGGAAAAUAACACGCCGGCGUUUGUAAGCCUUUCCCACAAAACCGUACGUUUGGCCGAAAACCAGCGAGAAAAGGAGUAACCGGCUGGUAAGAGAGAGGAAGCGAAGGGGAAACCGAAACACGGCGCCUGUGUGUUGAUGAUGAUCUCAUUUGACUUUAAGAGUGCACAACUCGUGAUCUCCCUCGUCUUUUGGAGCAACGACACAAUAUUGAUGAAACUGAUUUGUUAACGUACCAUUUCGAAGCGAAACCGCCAACCUCCCCCCCAAAAAGUUACAGCUUAGAGGCUUUUGUAGUUCUGCAGUUCAACGCCUGGUCAUCUCGUCGGCUGCUUUUAUAACUCCGUAUCCAUUUAUCUUCGCAAAGAAGUAAUCCGUGCUCUUCGGAUGUGAGGAAUAAACCCGGACACUGACCGAAUGCGAAAACGUCCCACGCGAAGUCUUCGAGCCUCGUCCGAUCCGAAAUCCUCGUUACCAGAGAACGUUUUGGGGUACGUAUGCAACAGAAAGAGUGCCGCGUACAAGAAGGAUCAAAGCAUGAAGGGAAGGAGAGAUUGAGUGAGUGAAUGAGUGAGAACAUGUGUGAAACAUUUCUCAAACUGGGCUUGACAAACAAUCAAAGACCUUCAUUUGUGAUUAGUUAUUAGUAAAGGCUCAUAGCAAAUGUUAAUUGCCAAGUUAAUUUAAACAAAAGUGUGGGUGGCUAACGCAGUAAAGAGAGAAAAGGAGGGAGGACAGAGAGGAAGAAAGCAAGCGAGAGAAGGAUAAAGGGUGGGCAAUCACUUUUGUUAUAACAGAGACGAAACAGGGAACAGAAUCAAUCCAUUAUCGAUGAAUAAAUAAGCAAAACCGAAGACUUGAACACUGAGCAAACAAAGAGAAUUCCAACAGAAACUGGCUGAGAGAAGAAAAGAGCUCUCCAGAUCUGGAGAAGACAGUAAGAUAAGCUAAAACACAAAGCAUGUGAAAUAAAACACGUGGACGGAAUGGAGUUUAAACAACUUCAGGCGCUAAUAAUAAUGUGAGGAAAAACAAAAUCAGCCCAGAAGCAGGCUCAGACUGUACAGAUUUUGCCAUAAUUGAAAAUGAUAUUCAAAGCACUGUGAGGCAAAACAGCUCGAUUUAAUGCCACAUGUCAUUUUGGAAACAUUAAAACAAAGCGGUACGGACAGUUGUAUCAGAUAUGUAUUAAGUCAAAGCUAAGUGCUUCAAAAUCAAGAAAAAAAAUUGAUAACCUUUAAAUAAAAAAUGCCUCCGUCUUCCACAAUAAACAGAGAGAAUAUAAAGAAUGUAAAAAGGAGUCUUACAUUUUUAAAUAUUUAUUUUUAAUAUUGAAUUAUAUAUUUAAAAUGAAUUUAUUUAUUCAUAUUAAGUAAAAUUGCCGCUAAAAAUAAAAGUCAGUAAACUUGUUUCAAAGUCAAAAAAUAUCAGUAAAACGACAACAAAUGACAUCUAACUUCAGAAAAUAUGCUAAAGCAAAAUAAUGUCUUCGCUUCAUCCGAACAACAGCGCUCAGCUAUAUUACCAAAGUCAUCUGAGGUCACCUGCUCACCACACUACAAAUAACACACCAGACCCCUCAAACAACUACUGCACAGCCAAAUACGUCAUUACAGCUGUUCAAAAAAAGUUACAUGCGUGCGAAAGCCUCAACAAGUUGUACAUGAUAAAGCGCAAAGUUAGAAGUUUCUUUAAAGUAGGUUAAAUAUCUCCACUCACCAUCCACCAGGUCUUAGCUGUCAUAUCAUAACACAGCUGCCAUUUCACAGCGUUCUCUGCCGUGUUGCCACUCGUGUGUGUGAUGCUGGGGAGCUCCAUAAAGAGAGACGGAUACAGGAAGCGAGAGAGAGAGAGAAAAGGAGAUGUGGAUGUUUUCAAACCAGCCCCAAACUCAGCCAAACAGGAGAAACAAGAGGAACAGACGUGCAAAUCCUCCUCGGCUGCCUCUUUCUUGCUCUCAUCUUUACCUCCCUGUGUGGCACAGAGAGAGACUGGACAGUUUAGAGGGACAGAGAGAGAGAGAGCGUGAGGGUGAGACCUAAAGGAUUAAGAUUUCGACAACAGUUCCCACUCAAGAGUCCACACUCUCUGAGCAGACCAUCUGAGAGACACCCAGACCACACCACCACCACCACCACCACACCACCACCACCACGGGCUGCUAGACAGACCAGCUAAUGCCAGCUGUGUUAACAGUCGCACAUACCCUCAUAAGCGCACUCGCACAAAACCACACUUUUAUAAAGCACAUGUAUGAAGAAAGUGGGAGCUGAUGCCAAAAAUCCUAUGAGAAUACAUAGCGUGCCGCGUUCAAACGUGCUAUUUUCUUUCUAGCGCAGCAGGGCGCUCACACACCCACUUCAACAACACAAAGUCAAUCCUACGUCGAGACCUGACCACGAUGAUGUCAUCCAGCAUCACUUUUUUCCUUUUGACCUUGUUAAAUCACAAAUUUCCUAUUUGUGCUGCUGUAUAUUGAGGGAUUGAAGAAGCCUAGGCUUCGUACAGUAGUGUAUUAAGACCACCAGGGUAGAAACUGAUUCUGUCUUCUUCAUUACCUUUCGAGUCACACAGAGCUGAAUAGAAAAUAAUAGUUUAUGGGAGAAGAAAUUUUUUUUUUUUUUUUACUGAGAGAAUGUGGAAAUUAAAUGUGUUUUUUUUUUUUUUUUUUUUCCCACCACCUCCAUCAACCACAUAGCAAGGAGAAGUCCAGCCCUUGCUUGGCCGCAGGAGUGCUGAGUGAGUGUGGGGGAUAUGUGGGCAGUGUUUGUUUGGCUUACUUGCUUUUUCUUUUCCUUUUUUCAUGUUGGAAAUUUUUGUUUUUAUCAUGCAUCAAAGGACUAAGUGUCAAAAGUCUCCUCACAGCUCCCCACACACUUCACAUCGCAGAUCCAAAACACUGUUGAGAUUAAAAAUAUGAAUACGAUUAUUUUUAUGACAGUACGUGCCACUGAAAUAAAAUAUUACGGUAUAAGUCAAAAUGCAGUGCAAGAAUUCCUUCAAUUCAAAUUAAGAGAUGUUUAGAAGGUGGAGAGAAAACAACAAAUUUGAGCCACAUAAUUGAAUAUUUCAUACAUUUGGUUGUAAGUACUUAAAAAAAUUAUUAAGAUUGUCUCACUGACCGUUGGAAGCAAAGCGGCCUGGCUCUGAUUGGAAGCAGCUCAAAAGGUGUGUCGUAAUCAGAAACAGAAUUGGACGUUCAUUUAUCGUCGGCGACUGGACAACACCAUCCGAAGUAUCCAUCCACCAUCAUGAGAACGGAUAUGGCCAUCUGUAACUUAAAAGGUAGUAAACUAUUAGUGUUUAGUGGAACAUAGCCUUUUCAGUGUGUCACGCUUCCUCCAACUCAAACACAGCUUUUAUGCGCCUAUACAGAUAAUUUAACCUGCUUAUUAGUUUACCUGUCAAAAAGAAACUCUGGAAAUUGUCAUAUGGAGUGAAACAUCUCGUAAAAUUUCCAGAAAUUGUUGUAUGGAGUGAAACCGCUCAUAAAAUUCUUCCAUCUGUCAGUGUUUACCCUUGUUUUACCCUGUUGUCUGUCUCAGUCAUUGUAUAUUUGCUUGCAGUUUAUGUGAAUUUCUUUGUCCACACCCACUCAACACCCCCUGGCUCAGCCGUCGCAGUAGCCACACCCCAAACUCUCGCUAUUGGAUGCACGGAGGUAUGCAAAUACAUUGAUUGACUAGCAGAUCUACAUGAGAUCACCUGAUAGAAGGCAGUCUCAACGAGCCAGUGUUUCCACAGGAGCAGGGGUCCGGAGAACUGGGAAGAGCCGGGGAUGGAAGUCUGGGAUUUCCCAGUCUCUUCACUCUCCUGAGGCUGGACUCCUUCCUCCUUAGUGCCCAGGUGAAAGAUGACAGAGAAUCCAUACCAUUUUAUAAUAUUUUCCAUGGAAGGACAGGUUUGGAGCAACACAAUUUUUAUUUUGGGGUGGACAAUCCCUUUGGCUCCGAUUACUCACUCUGAAUGUGGGAACAUCAACCCAGCCCAGACUCUGGGAAAUC